GGGUCAGUAGGUUGGUCGUGCCACCGGUACGUACUGGUCUCACUGAUUCCUCCUUCCUGAAGAACCGUAAUGCCGUUAAUUUGGUGUUGCGGGGAAACAGGACUGUUACUUUGAAAAAAUUAGAGUGUUUAAUGCAAGCUAACGCUUGAAUACAUUAGCAUGGAAUAAUGAAAUAGGACGAUCGAUCCUAUUUUGUUGGUUUCUAGGAUUGACGUA
This 216-nucleotide ribosomal RNA is filed under the name Glomeromycotina sp. RNAcentral's name for it is "partial small subunit ribosomal RNA". The stretch from base 40 to 216 matches the Rfam family "Eukaryotic small subunit ribosomal RNA", at positions 686 to 864 of the family's 1831-position model. The record is from RNAcentral. Lineage: Eukaryota; Fungi; Glomeromycota.